RNAcentral lists this transfer RNA (65 nucleotides) under Parageobacillus caldoxylosilyticus. RNAcentral's name for it is "tRNA-Trp". Lineage: Bacteria; Bacillati; Bacillota; Bacilli; Caryophanales; Anoxybacillaceae. RNAcentral also lists the same sequence under 2 other names. The record is from RNAcentral.
AAGGGCAUAGUUCUAGCACAGAGCCUCCAAAACCUCCGGUGUGGGUUCGAUUCCUGUUGCCCUUU